GACGAACGCUGGCGGCGUGCUUAACACAUGCAAGUCGAACGGUGAACCUCUUCGGAGGGGAUCAGUGGCGAACGGGUGAGUAACACGUGGGCAACCUGCCCCCGGCUCUGGGAUAACUCCAAGAAAUUGGGGCUAAUACCGGAUGUUCACCGCUUCCCGCAUGGGUGGUGGUGGAAAGGUUUUCCGGCUGGGGAUGGGCCCGCGGCCUAUCAGCUUGUUGGUGGGGUAGUGGCCUACCAAGGCGACGACGGGUAGCCGGCCUGAGAGGGUGACCGGCCACACUGGGACUGAGACACGGCCCAGACUCCUACGGGAGGCAGCAGUGGGGAAUAUUGCGCAAUGGGCGGAAGCCUGACGCAGCGACGCCGCGUGGGGGAUGACGGCCCUCGGGUUGUAAACCUCUUUCAGCAGGGACGAAGCGCAAGUGACGGUACCUGCAGAAGAAGCACCGGCCAACUACGUG
RNAcentral lists this ribosomal RNA (463 nucleotides) under uncultured bacterium. RNAcentral's name for it is "partial 16S ribosomal RNA". It matches the Rfam family "Bacterial small subunit ribosomal RNA", at positions 28 to 507 of the family's 1533-position model. The record is from RNAcentral.